ACGCUCGACACCUACGGAGGCAGCAGUGGGGAAUAUUGCACAAUGGGGGAAACCCUGAUGCAGCGACGCCGCGUGGAGGAAGAAGGUCUUCGGAUUGUAAACUCCUGUUGUUGGGGAAAAAGAGGAUGGUACCCAACAAGGAAGUGACGGCUAACUACGUACCAGCAGCCGCGGUAAUCUGAGCGGGCUGGCAAGGC
This 197-nucleotide ribosomal RNA is filed under the name uncultured bacterium. Its description in RNAcentral is "partial 16S ribosomal RNA". It matches the Rfam family "Bacterial small subunit ribosomal RNA", at positions 328 to 539 of the family's 1533-position model. The record is from RNAcentral.